RNAcentral lists this long non-coding RNA (2692 nucleotides) under Zostera marina. RNAcentral describes it as "long non-coding RNA (ZMAR_LNC001296)". Lineage: Eukaryota; Viridiplantae; Streptophyta; Magnoliopsida; Alismatales; Zosteraceae. The record is from RNAcentral.
CUUGGUGUAACUAAUUAAACUGUUGAAAUUAUAAAUUUCCACUUUGUCGUGUAAUGGAACGUCUAUAAAUAAGCUUGCGUUUUACGUAUAAGUUUGCGUUCUGCCCCUUUCCAAACCUUCCUUUUUAUCUUCCAUUGCGUUCUAGAUGGUGCGAAAACUCUAAACUGAUGGCUGCUCCACUAAUGGAGAUGGUCAUAUCCGUCGAACGCAGAGACAGAUUCUCCGGGAAAGAGAGAUCAUAGAUCUCACGUAUGAGGACGACGACAUCUACGAGACGCUGUUUGAACCCUCGCACUCCACCAGUUACGAUGGAGUACGAGGCAUUCUCACUUGCUCAACCAGGAAGCCAACGCAACAUUGUCCGUUUGACAUCUCGUCGUCGUCCUCCGCCGCCUCCACCUUCGCCUGCGCUAGCGCCUAUGUCUCAGCCUGCACCAGAGAUUCCGGAAUACGUUCCGGAGCAACCAUCGACGCAUCAAAACGAUGUGGUGGUAUGUCCUCAAUGUGGAUACUUGUUCAUCGCCUUCCUUUACACCGCUGCAUCAAGUCUUCUGAACUUGCGGGAUACUGAUCCCGUGGAGCCGUUAAACUUCGACUAGCUGGACGACGUGGAGCUCGGAGACCCUUAGAGUUGGUGGUCGAGGGUCGCAGAAGUAGGCCUAGACGAAGCAGAUCUAUUGUUAGCUGGGAAAAAAUUUGUUUAAACUAUGUUUUGAAGGUAGAUCUUGUGAAUUUCAAGACUAUCAUAUCCAUCUUAGACUUUGAUAUCUUAUGUAUGCGUUUUUAAAACUUUGAUAUCUAUUAUGUAUUUGUUUUCAAGACUUCGAACUUCUUUAUCGCGCGUUCUCUUCCGUCGACGGCGGAUCUAUAAUGUAGAUAAAAAGUGGAACGACUUAGGUGUUUGCAAGAAAUAUUAAAUUUAGUAUCAAAAAAUAUCAGUUGUAGAUAGAGUCAUAAAAUAUCAGAGAAGAAGACUCAGGUGUUUGCAAGAAAUUUUUUUCCUUGCUAAUGCAAAUACAAUGUUAGGGUUAUAUAGGUGCAAGUUCAAAAUUUCCUAAUAUAUCAACAGUUUUAUGGUUUCUCAGGUACGAUCGAGAAGUUUUAGGGUUUCUCGGGUUACGAUUAAUAAUAUUAGAUAAAACAUUAUAUUAGAUAAAUAAUAUAUUAGAUAAUAUAUUAACAACCGUUAACAACGGAAGUAUGAUUAAUUGAUAAUAUUAGAUAAAUAAUGUUUACUUGAUUAAACAUUAUUAUACUUGCUAGGUCAACGGUGACGUAUUAUAUCAACAAAGAAUUAUUUUUAAUACUAUUGUUAGAUUUAAUAUUUUCUACAUAUUAAAUAAUAAUAAUUAUUAUUAGGUUUAAUAUUAGUGUAAAUUAGUAAUUCUUUUAUACUUUUUCAUUAGGUUUAAUGUUUUUAAACUAUUCAUAUUAAUAAUAUUAUUAGUGUAAAUUAGUAAUCAUAUUAUAAUGAUAAUAAUAUUAUUAUUAUUGGUAUUUAUCUAAUAAUGAUAUUAUUAGUAUUAAUAAUAUUCAUAUUUAUCUAAUAUUGAUAUUAUUAGUAUUUAUCAUAUUCACAAGAGUAAUAAUGAUAUUAUUAUUUAUUACUAUUGAUUAUGUUAGUAUUAAUUUAUUUUGGUAGAUUAAAAUAAUUACUUGAUUUUCAAUUAAAAUAAUAUAUUAUCCAUUGCAAAAUAACAAUAAUGAGUAAUCAAAACAAAGAUAAAGAGAUGCUAAUGUUGAAUGGACAGCAAGAAAAUAUUUUCAGGUAAAUUUUAUCAUAGGGUUAAUCUUAUAUUUAAUUUUAAUUUCUUAUAGUUAAUUUUAAAUUAUAUUAAUAUUUGGUUAAAUUAAUUUACUACAUUACUAUAUAUUCGGUAAAUUAAUUCAUGAUACUAAUAGAGAAUUUACCUUUUUACAAAACGGGGAAAUUAUUUGAAACAAUAGAGCAAGCAGAAUCAGAGUACUACGAACAAGAUGGCAAAUUGGGUUUUUCUGUAAGGUCAACCACAAGGGAAAAAGCCAAUGAGGUGGUAUAUAAGAAAUAUAUUUGUUCGAAGGCAGGUAUAUCAAUAAUACAUAGAGUAGAAACGACUAUGGACUAUGGUAAAAGGAAAAGACUGCUUAGGAACACACGAACAGACUGCAAAGCAUUCAUUAUUUUCAAAAAAGUAGAAAAUAUAUGGGUAGUUACAACAUUCAAUCAUGAACACAAUCAUGAUUUGGCGACUCCGUCGAAAAAAAGACUUCUUGCAGUAAACAGAAAAAUUGAACCAUUCAUACGUAAUAUCAUCCAUGAUCUUGAAGAUUCAAAUAUAACGUCAAAUCAACAAUUUUCUUACACUACAAAAAAAGGACCUUGUAUGGAGGUCUUUAGAUAUCCGCCAUCUAAAGUGAUAGUCGGCGGAAAUUCGUUAUCUAAAGACCGCCAUCUAGGAAACCGUCAUUAAAACCCCAUAACCGCCAUCCAAAGACCGCUAUCUAUUAUCCAUCCCCAUUUCUCACCAAAAAUUGUAUAGAUCGCCAUCUAAUCUGAAAUUUUUUGCGGGAACUGAAAAUUUUUAGAUGGCGGAAAUCCGUCAUCUAAAAUAUGACGCGGAAAAAGUUUGGCGUCAAUUCAUUGAUGACGGUUAAUUUUAUUGAUGGCGGAUGUCCGCCGACUAUCUUUGUAACAUUAGAUGACGGAUUUCCG